CCUUGACAAGAAUCAUUGGAAAUCUUGGUUCUUGGAGACCUAGCCGUUCCUUCAAUUUUUUCCCUCAUAGUUACGUGUUACGCAGAUCUAUUCCACAUGGGACGCAGAUCUAUUCCACAUGGUUGCUGCUACUGGGAUUCUGCUUCCAGAGAUCGUUAGAUCGCAUCAUGAUCUGCCUUUCUAUGCCAGAUUUCGUUUCCGAUGUUGAGGAGAUCUGAUCGGUCGUAUCUACGGCUUAAUCUCCCGUCCGCAUAAACCAAAGCCUCUUGCUUUGGAAAAGGGUUGGUCGAACGUGUUGUAUCAGAAACCAACAUCUGACGGUGGAGAUUUGUUGGCUGAUUGAUUUGAGGCGGCUGGAGGUUAUUUUCUCUGAUAUAUGGUGGAUGAUGAAUCAAGGCGACACGUGAAUAGCGAUGUGGGAUAACGUGUUUUGUAAGUUGAAUGGAUGUGUAAGAUAUCGGGGCAAAGAGGCCUUGUUUGCUGAGGGCUGAGUCCUGAUCUAUCUUUGUCCAUCCCGACCUUUGCCAUGACAGGUGCGCUUGCAUGGCAGGUCACCCAAACUUAAUAAAAUUUAUAUCUUUUUGUGUUUCGAGGGGAGAUCGCACGGGAAUUGCCCGGGUUCUCCCCUCUGGUGUGCGUUGUCCUUGUUUUUCUCUUUUCCUUUUCCCAAUAUUUAUCUGCACCAUACGGGUUUGAUUCACGAUCCAUGUCAUCAUCGGAAAAGCUCAUGCUCACCAAAGGCAUUGAUCUACUACUUUCAAAUGGGGGAGCCCAAGGUAUAUUUUACAUCAUUUUUGCUGGAAUUCGCCUUUUAGUUUAAUUGCACGAAUUCUCGAUGGAACAGUCAGUUUAUCCAAAUUCGCUUUCAACAUGCACUGUUUAUGUUAGUAGCAAUAUUUUAUACCCUGAACUAAUAUGCAUUAGAACUUAAGGAAAAGAAGGCUUGUAAGCUAUAUUCCUUCCAUUUGCUACUGAUAGCUCAUAUGUUUUGUAAGCUAUAUUCCUCACAUUUGCUACUGAUAGCUCAUGUGAACUAAUAUGCAUUAGAAUUUAAGGAAAAGAAGGCUUGUAAGCUAUAUUCCUCACAUUUGCUACUGAUAGCUCCAAUGAAUCUAACCCAUUAACAUGGAUUAGUUCUUAAAGUUGGUCAUGCUGCAUAUAUAUCUCCCUUUUUGAUAAAUAAUAGCAAUUUUCUAGCUUUGUUUUGUAAAUAUAGGCAUGUUUUAUGGGUUUUUGUCAUCUUUCAUCUAAAAAGGAUUGUAGGAUCACCUACUAACAUAAAGUGAUGGCUUGUUUUUGAUAAUUUCUAACUAAGAAGUGUCAUGCUUUAGAUUUGUCACCAUCUUUGGUCUGCAAAAUUGCUAAUGGUAUUUCCCGAUUUUUGCCAAAAAUGCAUUAUCUGUUAUAGGUUAAACAGCAUUUUCUAAUUGAUUGCAAACUUUACCAAAAUGUUUUAAGAAGCCUUUUCUAGGAGAUAUAGAAGAUAAUGAUGCUCUUGAAUUUGCUUUGAUAUACUGGUGGUACAGUCAUUAAAUUAAAAUUUAGCUGACAACUUGUAUGACAUAUUUACCCAACUGAUUCUGAAAAUUUGAUACACAUUAUACUUUUUAAUUUAACUGGAGGGAAUAGUAUGUGAUUGGCCGUUUUCUGUAUCUGCCAACUUGCGGAUGACCUUGGCACAAAUCAGCAUUUGCAAUUACAUGAAUCGGAAUAUGAUGUCUGCUCAAAUAAUUGCUGCUGUUCAUGCAUAUAGUGCUGCUUUCCUUUUUAAUUGCAGUUUUAAACAUGUAUGCUUGCAAUAUUGUUUCACCACAAAGCAUCCUAUCAAAGUACAAUAUUUGGCCAAUGCAAAGUCUUCAUUCGAAGUGUGUGCCACUCAAAUAUGGGCAUCUGAUCAGACUAAUCAACUCAUUGUUCUUAGACCUGACUUUACAUUUCCACUUCUAUUAACAUCUUAAAUUGGUAAAAUUCAAUCCUCUGGAAAUGGCUUUCCUUCUCUCCACUAGUAUUAUUUACAUUGCCUUAUUACUUUAAUCUAGUAUCAUCCAAACUAUUGUGUUAUUAUUGUAUUGUCAUUUGUGAUUUUCUAUCUUACAGUUGUAGUACGUGGAUACUAUAUUGUAUGAUGUGAUAGUGUAUUUGCUUGUGCUCGGCUCUAUUGUUCUUGAAGCCCUUGGUUGGGCUCCACUGUUAUAUUGUGUUGCAAUAAGGUUUUGUUGGAAGAUGUUGUGUAAGUGUGAUUGUGUGCUGGAAGAAUCUUUUGUAUUUCAGCCAUGUUGUGCAUCUUGAGCGGGCAUGUUCUCCAUGAGGAUUAUUCCAAGCUUCUUAGGCCUUCUAAAAUGAUUGGCUUCACCUGCAAGGAGAUAAGGACUAAAAUGAUUGGCUUCAACUGCAAGGAGAUAAGGAUUGGCUUCAACUGCAAGGAGUUAAGGACUAAAAUGAUUGGCUUCAACUGCAAGGAGAUAAGGACCGAUCCCCAAUUUCCAAGUUGAGGUUUGAGGAUCACCUGUUUCCAAUUUUCUGGGAAAUUGCUCUUUUCAAGGUACAUGUCAGAUUUGUACAUCCAACUUUAAAUAGUAAAAGUUUUUCAGUGGACUACGGUCCCGUGGUUUUUCCCCUUGAUAAAAAGGGGUUUUCCACGUAAAUUUUGUUGUCUUUGUUGAGUUUAUUUGUUUCACAAGAUUGAUUUUGCCUCGUGUUUCAUCACCUCUUUAGAUAAGAAGUUACAUGUUCGUGUUUUUUAUUUCAAUCAGCCCUCUAUGUUUUUAACCUUCAUUGCUUUGGGCACGCAACAUUUGAGGUGAAAAAUUGAGGCCUCCUUCUCUUUUCACUGCA
RNAcentral lists this small RNA (2835 nucleotides) under Theobroma cacao (cacao). RNAcentral describes it as "sRNA Tc03v2_g020410". Lineage: Eukaryota; Viridiplantae; Streptophyta; Magnoliopsida; Malvales; Malvaceae. The record is from RNAcentral.